GGAAGGAUCAUUAUAAAAAAUUCGGGCUUGGGUUUAACCCAAGACCUGCCCCAAAAGGGACCUUUUGUGCACUGUAAAAUUUUUUCACUUAAGCUUUGUCUGAUUGAUAUUUGUACCGAAAGGGACAAGAAUUUUAAUCUAAAACAACUUUUAACAAUGGAUCUCUUGGCUCUCGCAUCGAUGAAGAACGCAGCGAAAUGCGAUAAGUAAUGUGAAUUGCAGAAUUCAGUGAAUCAUCGAAUCUUUGAACGCAUAUUGCGCUCUCCGGCAUUCCGGAGAGCAUGCCUGUUUGAGUAUUGGCCUAAACGAGAGUCUUCCUUUAAAGAUAUAAAAAAGAACGUUAAGAACCCUCAGUUGAGACUUCUCGACAAUUCAUUGCCGAGUGUUUUAAAAUGCAAUAGUACCGCCACGUUUGCGAACUUGGAGUAAUAUGUGAGCCUGAAAAGGUGACCUCUAUUCUCCUCGGACCACGUAGACCUGUUAAGCGGGAAGUUUUUGAAUGCCGAAUUAUGGGAGACGGUGUUCAAUUGUUCGAGUAACGACGAACGAAAUAAACUCAAUCUCAAAUCAGGUAGGAUUACCCGCUGAACUUAAGCAUAUUAAUAAGCGGAGGAAAAGAAACUAACAAGGAUUCCCCUAGUAACGGCGAGUGAAGCGGGAAGAGCUCAAAGUUGGAAUCUGGGCAGGUUUCCUGCUCCGAAUUGUAAUCUAUAGACGUGUUUUCGGUGGUUGUGUUGGUAUAAAUCCUUUGGAACAGGGUAUCAUAGAGGGUGAAAAUCCCGUCUUUGACUGACAUACAACUGCCUUGUGAUACAUGCUCAAAGAGUCGCAUUGUUUGGGAAUGCAGUGCAAAUUGGGUGGUAAAUUUCAUCCAAAGCUAAAUAAUGGCGAGAGACCGAUAGCGAACAAGUACCGUGAGGGAAAGAUGAAAAGAACUUUGAAAAGAGAGUUAAAUAGUACGUGAAAUUGUUAAAAGGGAAACGCAUGAAAUCAGUAAUCUCUGCAGCAAAUCAGCAUUUUCUUUCCUGUGAUCCAGCUUUAACCAGUGGUUAGUGUUGUUCUUCAUCAGGUAGAAAGUGUGCACUUUGCUGCAGAGGAGUCAACAUCAGUUUGGACUUGUGGAUACACCUCUGUGGAAGGUAGCCAACAUUUGUUGGUGUUUAGCCACGGUAGGAAAACACCGGUCUGGACUGAGGUCUGCAGCACAUUUCGGGACAUUUAGGCGCUGUCAAAUUCUAAUGGCCCUCAACUUGUUGAGUGUCGUCAAGGAAAUGACACCCGCUUGACUCUGUUACUUUUGUGCUUGGGAUGUUGACAAAAUGGUUUUAUACGACCCGUCUUGAAACACGGACCAAGGAGUCUAACAUAUAUGCGAGUAUUUGGGUGUCAAACCCACAUGCGCAAUGAAAGUGACUAAUGAUGGGACCUGCAAAGGGCACCAUUGACCGAUCUUGAUAAUUUGGAUAGAUUUGAGUAAGAGCAUAUCUGUUGGGACCCGAAAGAUGGUGAACUAUACUUGAAUAGGGUGAAGCCAGAGGAAACUCUGGUGGAGGCUCGUAGCGAUUCUGACGUGCAAAUCGAUCGUCAAAUUUGAGUAUAGGGGCGAAAGACUAAUCGAACCAUCUAGUAGCUGGUUCCUGC
This 1641-nucleotide unclassified non-coding RNA is filed under the name uncultured fungus. RNAcentral's name for it is "sequence contains 18S rRNA gene, ITS1, 5.8S rRNA gene, ITS2, 28S rRNA gene". The stretch from base 558 to 1641 matches the Rfam family "Eukaryotic large subunit ribosomal RNA", at positions 1 to 961 of the family's 3401-position model. Lineage: Eukaryota; Fungi. The record is from RNAcentral.